CUCAGAACGAACGCUGGCGGCAGGCUUAACACAUGCAAGUUGAACGGGAUUGGUGGUAGCUUGCUAUCAUUAAUGAGAGUAGCGCACUGGUGAGUAACACGUGGGAACAUGCCUUUUGGUGGGGGACAACAGUUGGAAACGACUGCUAAUACCGCAUAAGCCCGGAAGGGGAAAGAUUUAUUGCCGAAAGAUUGGCCCGCGGAAGAUUAGGUAGUUGGUGGGGUAAAGGCCUACCAAGCCGACGAUCUAUAGCUGGUCUGAGAGGACGAACAGCCACAUUGGAACUGAGACACGGUCCAGACUCCUACGGGAGGCAGCAGUGAGGAAUAUUGGGCAAUGGAGGAAACUCUGACCCAGCCAUGCCGCGUGAGUGAAGAAGGUUUUCGAAUUGUAAAGCUCUUUCGGGUGUGACGAUGAUGACGGUAACACCUAAAGAAGCCCCGGCAAACUUCGUGCCAGCCGCGGC
Molecule: ribosomal RNA, 466 nt
Filed under: uncultured bacterium
Lineage: Bacteria
Description: bacterial SSU rRNA
Rfam family: Bacterial small subunit ribosomal RNA
Source: RNAcentral